This 253-nucleotide ribosomal RNA is filed under the name uncultured bacterium. RNAcentral describes it as "partial 16S ribosomal RNA". It matches the Rfam family "Bacterial small subunit ribosomal RNA", at positions 524 to 776 of the family's 1533-position model. The record is from RNAcentral.
UACGUAGGGGGCAAGCGUUGUCCGGAAUCAUUGGGCGUAAAGCGCGUGUAGGCGGUCCGGUAAGUCCGCUGUGAAAGUCGGGGGCUCAACCCUCGGAUGCCGGUGGAUACUGUCGGGCUAGAGUGCGGAAGAGGCGAGUGGAAUUCCUGGUGUAGCGGUGAAAUGCGCAGAUAUCAGGAGGAACACCAAUUGCGAAGGCAGCUCGCUGGGACGUGACUGACGCUGAGACGCGAAAGCGUGGGGAGCAAACAGG